CCACUUUCUGCAUCACAAUGGAAUAGUAGACCAUCUAUUCCAGGGAGAAAUGAUGUAAUAGAUGCAAUUUCAUUGACUCUCUCAUAGUCCCUUCUAGAAAACUGCAGUGCAGCCGGUUCUAAGAUUGACAUCUACCCCAAGGCCAGCCAACUCAUUUCCUAACCAAUUACCAACAAGAUCUGCUCUCUUUGAAUCUGUGCGAACAGGACAUAAAGCUGGUCUGUGGUGGGUAUUGGGCCCAAGAGACCAGGAUACAAAGUUGGGGCUAUUGACGUCAUACAGAGCCACAUGUAAGGGGAAGCCAGCUGCCAUGUCACGAAAACACUUGGGUAGCCUACAGAGAUGCUCUGUAGAUGCCUACAGAGACUAGAUGCACUAAAGUCUCCAGUCAACAGCCAACAAGGAAAGAGUCUGUCAACAACCAUGCAGUCAAUAGAAGCCAGAGAAUGUGAAGGAAGAGUUUGACUCCUCUCCUGAGCAGAAUAUUUAGGUCAUACAUGAUUGUUUGUCUUCAAGCAAACCAGUACAAUUAUGCAACAGAAAUUCUUUUGAAGCAUCUGGGACUUCAGUUCAAUUUAAAAUCCUGUGGGGUUUAUUACCAGAAUGAAUGAUUAUAAAAUAUACGCAUGCAAAUGAAGAGAUAAGAAAAUUAAAGAGCAUAUGAAAUUUAAUGCACG
Orcinus orca (killer whale) is the source of this 677-nucleotide long non-coding RNA. RefSeq lists it as uncharacterized. Lineage: Eukaryota; Metazoa; Chordata; Mammalia; Artiodactyla; Delphinidae. The record is from RefSeq and is a predicted model, not a curated record. The transcript is spliced from 3 exons.